UGUAUGCGUGUGUGUGCAGUUGUUUAGGACUGGAGUCGGCGGUAGUUGUCGUCUUUGGGGAUCUCCGCUGUGUGAAGUAGUUGUCUGUGAGAAGUAAUUGCUGACCGGGAAAAGUCUACUGAGCGCUUUGUUUGUAGUCUGGAGAGUCGUGCGUUUAAAGCUCCUCUUUUUUUUUUUGUUAUAAUUCAUUUUAUUUGAGUCUUUUUACUAACACGAUUUUUAAUCUAAUCAUUUUAAAUUGUAUUUCUUUAAAAAAAAGUUAAUUAAAAGUUAAAUAUUUGUGUUUAAUUAAAAAAAUAACACUAUAAAUAAAGGGGAUGACAUAUUUAUUUAGUAAUGUAAUCUGUUUUCCUCUCCCAGUUAAUUCUAACUCGCUGUAAAAUGACUUGAUAGCAUGUGCGGUCUGCUCUGCCCACUUUUCCCCCUCCUGUCGGCUGGAGUAAAGGAGACUAAUUUAGAAGUUGCAGAUUUGAGCUGCCUGAAUUGGCUAGACAGCUGUAAUCGCACUCCCUCCUAGUCUUAAUCUCUUUAUCUGGCUAGCAGCUGCCAUAUGGCCCCCGUCAGCUGGAUCAGAUGUGGGUAAGCCUCCCUCCCCAGCCGUCCCAGCCUGUCCUUCUCCCUCUUGUGUGUGCGUCUCCCUCUCAGACCCCUGCCUGAGUCGGGCGGGCGGGCCGGCUGAUUCGGGCCGGGCGGUUCGGGCGACUGGCUCUGGAGCCGACGGCUCCCUCCUCGCCGCCGCCACCUCGGUCUUUAUUUUUAGCCAUCUUUAAGGAUUAGGAUUGAUGCUGUGACGAGCAGGGCACUUACAGUGAUUGUAUUGUAAAUCUUCUCUUCUGGGUGAUGGUGGGUGGGAGGGUUGAGGAAGAGGGCAGUUUCUUCGGCGAGGGCGGAUGUGCUGAGGUUUUUUUCUUGUGAGGGUCGGAUGAGAAGGAGUGCGCGAGUGCUGGUUGGUGCGUUUGUGUGGAAGGAGGAGGAGGUGGUGGUGGAGUGUGUGGCUGGACAGAGGGGUGGAGUUGGGGGUGGCGGUGGGGAGGUACACCCUUGUCCCUGUAUGUCCCCUCAUUAAAAGCAGUCUGAGCGAGCUGCAGGGCGAGCACACACACACAUACAGCGCACGCAGACGCACACGCCGCCUCGCACGCUUACAUUCUUGAUUUAGCUUCAUUCACAUGAGGAGAUUUUACUGCUUCGGUUAACACAGUGCAGAGCGGGACCCAUGUAUUUUCUCAGGCAAGACAAAUCGACUUGGUUAACAGGUUAUGAGGACGGCAGGAUGGAGUUCCCAGACCACAGCAGACAUUUACUCCAGUGUCUGAGCGAGCAGCGGCACCAGGGCUUCCUGUGUGACUCCACGGUGCUCGUGGGCGAUGCUCAGUUCCGUGCCCACCGUGCUGUGCUGGCCUCCUGCAGCAUGUACUUUCACCUCUUCUACAAGGACCAGCUGGACAAAAGAGACGUGGUGCACCUCAACAGCGACAUCGUCACGGCUCCGGCCUUCUCCCUGCUGCUGGAGUUCAUGUACGAAGGCAAGCUGCAGUUCCAGGACCUUCCCGUAGAGGAUGUGCUGGCGGCGGCCAGCUACUUGCACAUGUAUGACAUUGUCAAGGUGUGUAAGAAACGCUUGAAGCAGAAAGCCACGGCGGAGGCGGACAGCACUCGCCGGGAGGAGGACGGCGGGUCCAGCUGCUCCGAUAAGGCCGACAGCCUGUCCGACGGUUCGACGGGCCGGCCUGCUACUGCUGACCUGCUGCACAGUGAUGAAGAGGAGGAGGGGAAGGCGGAGGGAGGUCCUCUGUGGUUGAGGUUGCCGUCUGGAGACAGACCUAGGACACCGGCCAUGGCGACAACCAGCCCGGGGCACGGUGAGGCCGAAACGCAAGCAGGUGAAGGGCUCGGGGAGGGCGGGAAGGCGCCGUCCCCGGCCGGCAGCCCCAGCAGCUCCACCGGGUCUCUGUCCCAGAGGUCCCAUCGCUCAGUGAACUCUCGCGUAGGCCACAGAGGCAGGAGGGUGUCGAACGACGCCGCCGACUGCGUCCUGGACCUGUCAGUCAAACCCAUCGCCAGUAGCAACCACAGCACGCACCAUCAGUCCUAUUUCAGUGGGGCAGCUACGCCAGACAGCCUGCAGAGCCCAUUGGCUGUGAGGGUGAAGGUGGAGAGAGGAGUGGCCUCUGAUGAAGACGAGGAGCUGGGCGGCGGGGACUAUGACAUGGAGCACAGUGGCCACACCAAGACCUCGCUGUCCAACGCAAACGGGGGUCUGACCCACCACGGGGUCGGGGGUCCCCUCUCAGCCCAGCGCAGGCUGGGGCUGGAGGCGCACCUGUCCGCCCUGCGAGAGGCGUCGCUGGCCUCGGAGCUGGAGCGCGACGAGAAGCCCGCCGCCCCCGCCGACGACGAGGACAUACUGGGGGGAGAGAGCGAGCGCGCUCAGGCCGAGGUAGCCAGCAUGGAUAACUCACUGCUGCCUUACGUCUCCAACAUGCUGUCGGCGCAGCACACCCAGAUCUUCAUGUGCCCGCUGUGCAACAAAGUGUUCCCCUCCCCGCACAUCCUCCAGCUCCACCUCAGCUCCCACUUCCGGGAGCAGGAGGGCAUCCGCUCCAAGCCGGCGGGAGACGUCAACGUCCCCACCUGCACCAUCUGCAGCAAGACCUUUUCCUGCAUGUACACACUGAAGCGCCACGAGCGGACACACUCUGGAGAAAAACCCUACACCUGCACCACCUGUGGCAAGAGCUUCCAAUACUCGCACAACCUCAGCCGGCACGCCGUGGUGCACACCCGCGAGAAGCCGCACGCCUGCAAGUGGUGCGAGCGCCGCUUCACGCAGUCCGGGGACCUCUAUCGACACAUCCGCAAAUUCCACUGCGAACUGGUCAACUCGCUGUCGGUGAAGAGCGAGCCGCUGGCGCUGCCUAAUGUCAGGGAUUGGGCGAUCGAGGACAGCUCCCAGGAACUGUGGAAGUAGAAAACGGAACUUCGGGGGUUCGGCAAAAGGGAAAAGAUCCCGGGAAGGAGAGAAGAGCGGGGAGGCUUGGGGAGGUAAAGGGAGGUGGAGUUUGAAAAAAAAUUCGCUCGAAAGCAACGGAGCAGCGCAAACUGGCGCACAUACGUGUAAGUAUGCAGUUAUUGUGUGUAUUGUGUGUUUGUGUGUGUUCCCUCACCCUGUGAUGCCAACCUCUCCACUCCCUCCCAGCUCUGGCCAUGCACGACCCAUCUGUCGCAUUCCUCCUUCCAUCCCUUCUUCCAUCCCUCCCCUAUGUGCUGCACUCUGUCCAUCCCUCCCUCUUCGCAUCCAUCCUCCUUUUCCUUCGCCGCGUUUCUUCAUUUACUUCCUCUUUUCUGCAAAAGUUUCUUCCCGCUCCGCUCUCCGCCCGGCUUCUGAGCACCUGUACACAACCAGGCUUGAGCUAAUAACAACAUGUGGCGUCUCCAGCUUGUGUGAUAAUAACAAUAAUACUCAUCAAAGAUAAAACACACACGCCUCAGAGCUUCUUUCCAUUGGAGGCCCUGCGACUUGAGGCCAAUGUGAGACCCUGCAGGCUCGUGUAGAACCCCGAGGCCCAAGUUUCUGCUCCACGCUGAACCGCGGCGAUCCAAUCGGGGCCAGGGAGACAGGAAUCCUGCCGAGGGAACUGGCACUGCCUCCCCGCGUGUGAGUAGUGUAGCAUCAGGGGUGUAGCCUGGGGUGUACUGGCAUGGUUGUGCGUUGGAUUAUUGAAGGCAGCUUGGGACCAUCUGUAUGGUGGUGGCGAAGAAGUAGAGAAGAAGGAGAGGGAUGAAGCUGAGAAUCCAACCAAAGAUGAGGAGAGGAGAGGCCAUUUUCAUGACAGCUUUACAUCCUUAUUUAAAAAUAUUUUUGAUGUUUUGGACAAUGUAAAAGCAGCAAUGAAACUGCCUGCAGAGGAGCAUCGAACACACCAGACGAAUGGCUAAAAAAAUCUGCUGAAAUAGCUUUUUUCUUUCCAAAUCGAAUCGAAAUCCUCUUCGUGUUGUCAUGUGAUGCAGAUGGAGGAUUUGGGCGACACAUGCCUGAAAGAUGGAACAGUUGAGGUGUUCAAAAUCAGGAAAAAGGACCAGACAUUUAUAUGUGGGGGGGGUUUGUUGCUCUCACAUGAGACUUUUUCAGAAUGUGCAUUGGGAUGGGUGGGUGGUUGGGGGGAGCUUGUCUCAGCUGUUCCUGGGUGAGUGGCGGGUACCCCCUGUGUGGAUCCAUCUCAUCUGGACUGGAGAACAAAUAAAGGUCUGUUCAGCUGCGGCGCCGAGGAACCGUUCAUCGGCUUUGAUACAAUGGAGAUCUGCAGCUGUGAGUGUGAGUACAGUAAACGAUUGCAGAACCCCCCGCCCUCAAAGAACCGUCAACAACAUUUAUACCAGGAAAGAUGGGAAAAUUCAGCUCCAUAUUUAAAUAUUUCUAUAUCAAGCUCAGUUUUUAAAACAAUGUAAAAAGAUUUUUAUGGUUCUUUUUUGUUGUUGUUGAUGUGUCAAAAUGAACC
This is an RNA transcript of Oryzias melastigma (Indian medaka), 4499 nucleotides long. It is a transcript of the gene named zinc finger and BTB domain containing 18, with no coding region annotated. Lineage: Eukaryota; Metazoa; Chordata; Actinopteri; Beloniformes; Adrianichthyidae. The transcript is spliced from 3 exons. The record is from RefSeq and is a predicted model, not a curated record.